RNAcentral lists this long non-coding RNA (1616 nucleotides) under Salvator merianae (Argentine black and white tegu). RNAcentral's name for it is "lncRNA (ENSSMRG00000022579.1)". Lineage: Eukaryota; Metazoa; Chordata; Lepidosauria; Squamata; Teiidae. The record is from RNAcentral.
UAUGAGCCUGCAUGGAGAGUGAAUGAGAAGGAAGGUUCACAGCAACUCCAAUUCUGUGUCUCAUGCACACACAGCCUGGAUCUUCCCUCUGCAGUGCCCUUGACUUAUUGAAAAUCUGAUUGCCCUUCUAUAAUUCCACUGACUUAUGUUUGUAGGGUGGGUCUCCAUGAUUCAGCUGGGUCAUUGUUCAGCUGGGAGGAGCUAGAAGAAACAAGUUCAGUUUAAGUGUGUACUCAAGUGGAAAAAGGCUGCUCUCCUGAGACCAAGGAAUUUGACAGAGANGUUUAGAGGAAUAACUGUCUGGUAAGUUUGUGGGGUGGAUCCUCUGGAAUUUGCAGAGGGUGUUGGGNACAAGAACAAGGGGACACUUUAUGAAACUGAUGUGUGUGGGAGUUAGGACCAAAAAGGGGAAGUAUUUUUUUCAUCCAGAGGGUUAUCUGUCUAUGGGAUGUAUUACCAGUCUAGAUAANUUUAAGAAAGGAUUAGAUAAAUUCAGGUAGGACAGGUGCAUCAAUGGCUAGAAUGGAUGCUUGGGUACUGCCUCCAUGUUGGAGAGACAAGCAGAAUGCUUUUAAAAGCCAUUCACAGGGAGUCNAGAGCAGGUGAAGGUUUUGCCUUUGUCUUCUGCUUGAGAUGCCCAGAAGCAAUUGGUGAGCCACUGGGUGAUAUAGGAUAUUGGACUAGAUGGGCCAUGGCUCAAUCCAGCAGGGCUCUGCUUAUGUUCUUAUGAUUUCCCUAACUUGCAUAACAGUUAUGUAUCAUGUAGUCAUUGUGAGAAACAAAUCAUAGUAUUGUACAAAGAAUGACAGUAAUACAUACCCAAGAAAAAAUUGUAACAAUUUUUUAAACUGAAUUUGAAACCUAGGUGGUGGAAGGUUGAUCUAUUAUUCUAUUCUUCAGCUACUUUUAUCAUGUUUGAAGCUCCUGGAAAGACGGAAGAAAAGCGAGCUGCUUCUUUUGUUGGGAAGGAAAGGAAAGGAAAGGAAAGGAAAGGAAAGGAAAGGAAAGGAAAGGAAAGGAAAGGAAAGGAAAGGAAAGGAAAGGAAAGGAAAGGAAAGGAAGCUCCAUAGGCACAAUGCUGACUCAGCACUGUGCAGGUGGAGCUUCCUUUUGCUUGCUAUUGCCAGUCCAGGUCAGGAGGAGUCAGGACAGGUGACGACGAACAAUCUUUCCAUCCACCCCACAGGGAUCACGCGGAACCAGACGGACGUCACGGAAGUACGCACUGGAUGCGGGGGCGGGGAAAGAAUCUGGUCGGAACGGAAGUGCGCGCGCGCGCAUUGGGAGGUCUCAAAGGAAGUGAGCGCGCGCGGUUGCCUGGUUGGCUGUUUUUUUCCGGGAAGCUCAGCUGCCCUGUCCUCUGCGCCACCAGACACAAGGAGAACCAGCCGCCACUAGCCAAGGUGUAGACUAUCUUCUGUAAUGGGUCCAUUCUCUCUACCUCACAAAACUUUUGCCAUUUGGGCUCAUCCUUGCCUUACCUUGCCAUUCAUGAUUGUUAAGGCUGAGAUGUGAGCAGUUCAGAUUAAAACUUAACUAUGUCAAUUGAUUGCAUUAUUCAUUUAUGUGGGCAGGAAAUAUUUGUAAUGGUUUUUACCAUUGCCUCUCUAUCUUUC